AUGGACAAGGUAACUAAAUCAGUUGAAUUGAUGCACACUGUCAAUUCUGUCACCAUAAAGUUGGGUGCCAUCUGGCAUCUGCAGAGUAUCAAAGCUUCUUCUAGAUCAAAGAAAGCUAAUCCAGAAUCAACCAUAGUCAGUGCAAGAAGGUUAUACAGGGCAGAUGAUAUUUCAUCAGAGAGGUAUACUACAGUGAAAAUAUAA
RNAcentral lists this ribosomal RNA (204 nucleotides) under Triticum aestivum (bread wheat). Its description in RNAcentral is "partial small subunit ribosomal RNA". Lineage: Eukaryota; Viridiplantae; Streptophyta; Magnoliopsida; Poales; Poaceae. The record is from RNAcentral.